GGAUGGGUCACGGUGAUUUCCUGCUGGUCUUUGUGACGUGCUGCGUGUCCCGAUUGCAGGGUGAACCUGGGCAGAAGGGGGAGAGAGGAGAAGCUGGCGAGAAAGGCAGGGAUGGCAGCCCGGGCCUCCCAGGAGAAAGAGGCCUUGCUGGGCCGGAAGGGAAACCGGGUAUGCCAGGCUUUCCCGGAGUUCUAGGCCGACCGGGCAACCAGGGAGAUCCAGGGCCACCAGGCUCAGCUGUAAGUAACACCAGCCUCCUGUACCUUCUGUUGUCCAUGGCUGUGCGUGUAUCAGAGCCACAUCUCCGGUGGCAUGGGGGAAUCUGCUACUGCCUGAACCCCAACAUUCACAGUAGUGUCCAGAUGGUUCCUGGAGGCUGAAACCUGCUGGCAUGAGAUGUCAGCCCAGCACAGAGCUUAUGCUGGGAAAGGGGAACAGAAAAUGACAUCCAUUGGAGCUGCCAGAGGCACACAAAGCAUUUCUGUUCAGCUUUCACCACCCUGCCAGCCCUCGCCAUGGGGCCUGCAAGAGAUGAUGUCCUGCAGAGCUGGAGGCACAGCCCCCUGUGUUCUUAGCAGGGCCAGGGCGAUGCGGAUCCCUGAGCCCAGGAUGUUAAACGGGGCUUUUGUGGGUGCGGCAGAUUCCAAGGCAGCAAACCAAACAGGAAGCACAUCAGCGUUGUCCAUGCUGUGCUCCAGAACCGGCUCAGUUGCACUGCUGGGCUCUAGCUGUACCCGGGGAUAACCAUCUUCUCUUUCCUUGCAGGGGCUUGUUGGACCGCCAGGCGCUCAGGGCCCACCUGGAAUAAAGGUGCGUCCCAGACAGCA
Molecule: long non-coding RNA, 827 nt
Filed under: Chrysemys picta bellii (western painted turtle)
Lineage: Eukaryota; Metazoa; Chordata; Testudines; Emydidae
Description: lncRNA (ENSCPBG00000014310.1)
Source: RNAcentral